CAGCAGCCGCGGUAAUACGUAGGUGGCAAGCGUUGUCCGGAAUUAUUGGGCGUAAAGGGCUCGCAGGCGGUUUCUUAAGUCUGAUGUGAAAGCCCCCGGCUCAACCGGGGAGGGUCCUUGGAAACUGGGAAACUUGAGUGCAGAAGAGGAGAGUGGAAUUCCACGCGUAGCGGUGAAAUGCGUAGAGAUGUGGAGGAACACCAGUGGCGAAGGCGACUCUCUGGUCUGUAACUGACGCUGAGGAGCGAAGGCGUGGGGAGCGAACAGGAUUAGAUACCCCCGUAGUCCCUGUCUCUUAUAC
This 301-nucleotide ribosomal RNA is filed under the name uncultured bacterium. RNAcentral describes it as "partial 16S ribosomal RNA". It matches the Rfam family "Bacterial small subunit ribosomal RNA", at positions 509 to 807 of the family's 1533-position model. The record is from RNAcentral.